ACAUCUGUCACUGUGUGUGUCUGCUAUCUCUGUGAGGACCAGUGUCAGUGUACGACCUCCACUGUGAGGACAUUAUGUGUGUUUGUACAGUGAUAAUAAAGUUGUGUGUUUGUACAGUGUUAAUAAAGUUUUGUGUUUGUACAGUGUUAAUAAAGUUGUGUGUUUGUACAGUGUUAAUAAAGUUGUGUUUGUACAGUGUUAAUAAAGUUUUGUGUUUGUACAGUGUUAAUAAAGUUGUGUGUUUGUACAGUGAUAAUAAAGUUGUGUGUCUGUACAGUGUUAAUAAAGUUGUGUUUGUACAGUGUUAAUAAAGUUGUGUGUUUGUACAGUGUUAAUAAAGUUGUGUUUGUACAGUGUUAAUAAAGUUGUGUUUGUACAGUGUUAAUAAAGUUGUGUGUUUGUACAGUGUUAAUAAAGUUGUGUGUUUGUACAGUGUUAAUAAAGUUGUGUGUUUGUACAGUGUUAAUAAAGUUGUGUUUGUACAGUGUUAAUAAAGUUUUGUGUUUGUACAGUGUUAAUAAAGUUGUGUUUGUACAGUGUUAAUAAAGUUGUGUGUUUGUACGGUGUUAAUAAAGUUGUGUUUGUACAGUGUUAAUAAAGUUGUGUGUUUGUACAGUGAUAAUAAAGUUGUGUGUUUGUACAGUGUUAAUAAAGUUGUGUUUGUACAGUGUUAAUAAAGUUGUGUGUUUGUACAGUGUUAAUAAAGUUGUGUUUGUACAGUGUUAAUAAAGUUUUGUGUUUGUACAGUGUUAAUAAAGUUGUGUGUUUGUACAGU
Molecule: long non-coding RNA, 775 nt
Organism: Dicentrarchus labrax (European seabass)
Lineage: Eukaryota; Metazoa; Chordata; Actinopteri; Moronidae
Exons: 5
Source: RefSeq, a predicted model, not a curated record